Molecule: transfer RNA, 96 nt
Filed under: Nitrososphaerota archaeon
Lineage: Archaea; Thermoproteati; Nitrososphaerota
Also listed under: 1 other name
Description: Thaumarchaeota archaeon tRNA-Lys
Rfam family: tRNA
About the family: Transfer RNA (tRNA) molecules are approximately 80 nucleotides in length. Their secondary structure includes four short double-helical elements and three loops (D, anti-codon, and T loops).
Source: RNAcentral
GGGCCUGUAGCUCAGCUAGGUAGAGCAUUGGGCUUUUAACCCAAUUGUAGGGUAGGGGUCCCGGGUCCGAAUAACUAGGAAAUCCCGGCAGGCCCG